This 579-nucleotide ribosomal RNA is filed under the name Xeris spectrum. Its description in RNAcentral is "eukaryotic LSU rRNA". It matches the Rfam family "Eukaryotic large subunit ribosomal RNA", at positions 666 to 1138 of the family's 3401-position model. Lineage: Eukaryota; Metazoa; Arthropoda; Insecta; Hymenoptera; Siricidae. The record is from RNAcentral.
CCAAGGAGUCUAACAUGUGCGCGAGUCAUUGGGACGUUAGAAGCCUAAAGGCGCAAUGAAAGUGAAGGCCGUGUCUCGGUCACGGCCGAGGGAGGAUGGGUCUCGCGGGGCGCGCUCGCGCGUUCCGUCGGGGCCUCGCACUCCCGGGGCGUCUCGGUCUCAUCGCGAGGCGAGGCGCACCCAGAGCGUACACGUUGGGACCCGAAAGAUGGUGAACUAUGCCUGGUCAGGACGAAGUCAGGGGAAACCCUGAUGGAGGUCCGUAGCGAUUCUGACGUGCAAAUCGAUCGUCGGAACUGGGUAUAGGGGCGAAAGACUAAUCGAACCAUCUAGUAGCUGGUUCCCUCCGAAGUUUCCCUCAGGAUAGCUGGCGCUCGCGCCUUGGCAGGGGGUGGGCGAGUGUUUCGGCACUCGUUACGCCUCCCUGCGUAUCGAGUCUCAUCCGGUAAAGCGAAUGAUUAGAGGCCUUGGGGCCGAAACGACCUCAACCUAUUCUCAAACUUUAAAUGGGUGAGAUCUCUGGCUUGCUCGAACGUUGAAGCCACGAGAUCGGAUCAGAGUGCCAAGUGGGCCACUUUU